AGGACGAACGCUGGCGGCACGCUUAACACAUGCAAGUCGAACGAGGUUCAAGGAGCUUGCUCCUGAAGACCUAGUGGCGAACGGGUGCGUAACACGUGAGAAACCUGUCCCGAACUUGGGAAUAACAACCGGAAACGGCUGCUAAUACCGAAUAUCUUCGUAACGUCGCAUGGCGAAUCGAAGAAAGCUUUAUGCGGUUUGGGAGGGUCUCGCGGCCUAUCAGCUAGUUGGUGAGGUAACGGCUCACCAAGGCAUCGACGGGUAGCUGGUCUGAGAGGAUGAUCAGCCACACUGGGACUGAGACACGGCCCAGACUCCUACGGGAGCAGCAGUGGGGAAUAGUUGCACAAGUGGGACGAAAGCCUGAUGCAGCGAUGCCGCGUGGCGGAAGACGGCCCGUAGGUUACGUAACCGCUUUACGAGGUAGGAAGAAAAGUCGAACGGUAACCUACGAAGAAAGGAAGGUGACGGACCAACGUACGACGACCAAG
Molecule: ribosomal RNA, 491 nt
Filed under: uncultured soil bacterium
Lineage: Bacteria
Description: bacterial SSU rRNA
Rfam family: Bacterial small subunit ribosomal RNA
Source: RNAcentral